GACGAACGCUGGCGGCGUGCUUAACACAUGCAAGUCGAACGCUGAAGCUUGGUGCUUGCACUGGGUGGAUGAGUGGCGAACGGGUGAGUAAUACGUGAGUAACCUGCCCUUGACUCUGGGAUAAGCCUGGGAAACUGGGUCUAAUACUGGAUAUGACAUGCCACUGCAUGGUGGUGUGUGGAAAGGGUUUUACUGGUUUUGGAUGGGCUCACGGCCUAUCAGCUUGUUGGUGGGGUAAUGGCCUACCAAGGCGACGACGGGUAGCCGGCCUGAGAGGGUGACCGGCCACACUGGGACUGAGACACGGCCCAGACUCCUACGGGAGGCAGCAGUGGGGAAUAUUGCACAAUGGGCGGAAGCCUGAUGCAGCGACGCCGCGUGAGGGAAGAAGGUCUUCGGAUCGUAAAACUCUGUUAUUAGGGAAGAACAAAUGUGUAAGUAACUAUGCACGUCUUGACGGUACCUAAUCAGAAAGCCACGGCUAACUACGUG
Molecule: ribosomal RNA, 492 nt
Filed under: uncultured bacterium
Lineage: Bacteria
Description: partial 16S ribosomal RNA
Rfam family: Bacterial small subunit ribosomal RNA
Source: RNAcentral